GGGUCAGUAGGUUGGUCGUGCCACCGGUACGUACUGGUCUCACUGAUUCCUCCUCCCUGAAGAACCGUAAUGCCAUUAAUUUGGUGUUGCGGGGAAACAGGACUGUUACUUUGAAAAAAUUAGAGUGUUUAAAGCAAGCUAACGCUUGAAUACAUUAGCAUGGAAUAAUGAAAUAGGACGAUCGAUCCUAUUCUCUUGGUUUCUAGGAUUGACGUA
This 216-nucleotide ribosomal RNA is filed under the name Glomeromycotina sp. RNAcentral's name for it is "partial small subunit ribosomal RNA". The stretch from base 75 to 216 matches the Rfam family "Eukaryotic small subunit ribosomal RNA", at positions 721 to 864 of the family's 1831-position model. The record is from RNAcentral. Lineage: Eukaryota; Fungi; Glomeromycota.